Long non-coding RNA from Gasterosteus aculeatus aculeatus (three-spined stickleback), 5490 nucleotides. The record is from Ensembl. NCBI's taxonomy places the organism in Eukaryota, Metazoa, Chordata, Actinopteri, Perciformes, Gasterosteidae.
CCCACGUCUAGAAUUGCAAGGUUGAAUUUAUUAUUCCCACAAACAAAACUUGACAACAUGCACGGCAGGUUGCCCAGGUUUCAACAUUUUUGCAUUAUUUCAUAUUCCUGAGAUAUGAAUGAAACAAUCAAACUGUGUGUUCACCCACUCACCCCACAAAAAAAGGGAACAAACUCAGGCAUUUUUAUCGGUUCUUUAUUAAAAUCAUCGUUUUUUGUCGUGUAUUUCUGUCCUGCUGGCAGCGCAGCACGUUAUUGUCAUCGCCCCCACUGAAGCCGAAUGGCAGCAGCAUCUAACUUGUGUGUGUGUGUGUGUGUGUGUUUGUGCACUGUGAAUUUGACAGUGCGUGCAUGAGUCUGUGUGUGAGCUGCUGACAAUAAAGUGUAGCACGACUAGCCAUCGUCACCGUACAGUCAAUACAGCAGUAUUAACACAAGGCCUUGAGACAUCGUUCACAGGGUCCGUGUUUCCACUGCAGGCUGAAACCGGGCUCACCAGGGCUCAGGCCGGGAAAGGCUCCUCGUCAAACUGAACGCAGCGGUAGGCGGUUUAUGCGCCUUGGACCACAGCGACUCACAUUGAUGCAUUACAUGCAUCGUAAGGUGGUCGUGUUUCCACGUUGUACCCGAUGAUGGGUGCAUGGUCUCGGUCUGCUGUCCACUGGGGAGUAAAAGUGGGAGGAGGUUUGAAGAUGUGAUCAUCAAAGGGAAGCCCUGGUUCAGUCAUGUUUGGCCUCAGUGGAAACCACACAUUCAAGCAGAUUCAUCCCUGCCCCUGACAUGUGUCAUAUUAGCCUUACCAGAUUUGUAAAAUGAAGAUAGAAACAGUGUGUCUGUCAUGUACAAUAUGUUCUUUUUCUUUUGAUUUUACAGCACAGCAGCUUGGCAGAUACAACACAUGAACCAUGUAUAUCAAAGUCCUUCUGGACACUGUAUAGGUUGGCUGGCAGGGGUAGCUGUGCGUGUUUUUGUAUAGUAAUUUAGCUUCUAGGCGAUGCAAAAGAAGCCUGUGCUGCUCACUGCAUUGUGUGUCAAAGAGGUCACCUCACUCUACACUGCGGUAUAAACUCCAGGGUCCGAUGUGAACUGGAAACGGGGUGGAGAACGCGACCCCUUCAUAAGUGAGAGUUGUGGUAAAAGCUGCUGUAUCCAUAAAAGGUUUAAUUGUUGUUAAUCUUCAGCCCAAACCAAAAAAUAAAGGCCCCUCUGGGUAGACAAACACGCGCCACCACUGCUACAGUGACACGGUCAUAAGACACUCGCGCACCCCUCCACGUCGUCACUUUGUUGAAAUCUUAGCGUUAGCUACAGUAGGUAGCUAAUGGAGGCGAAUGGUUGGUCUUAAGUGAGCAAAAACACAGUUAUGUACUGGUCUCUGUUUUCGCUUGGGGGUGGAAAGCUGGGCAGGAGGUUCGAGACAAGGAAAGACGGACAAAGAGACAUAUUCAUUGAGAUAAUACUGAAAAUUUAGUAGACAAACUUAUAUAACAUAGAUCUACCUUGAAAUAUACUAUCAUAUAUAUUUAGAUAUUCUAUCUUUUUUUUUUAAUGAAAUAAAUAUAUCCAUAGAUACUCUUCUUUUUUCAAAACAGACCGACUUUACAAUUGCAGAGACGCAACAACACAAUGGAUAGACGUGAGGAAAAAGAGGCUCUGCGCUCACACCGCUAGCAGCUGCUGGUGCUCGACUGGUGCUACGCGCGCUAACUGGCUAGCUAGCAAGCAAACGUCUAAUCAACGCUGUUACGGCUUUCAUUGAAAGUUGUAUAAGCUGUUGAUUGACAAUUGUGAUAAGCAACGCAAUGAAAUGCUUAAAGUUGUUUAAGAAAGUUGUCUAGAAUUUGCCUGUUGAUUGAAUAUGAGGGAAUAUGUGUUUUGACACGUAACUGUCAUAUCCAAUGGUCAUGUGAUGAGAAACAUCAUCUCCAAAAUAUUAUGAUGAGAAACGACAAUUUUCUGUAACACUACCCACCGCCACACACACACACGCACAUAUCUAUAUAUAUAUAUUUGAUUAAUACAUAUAUAGAUUUUUUUCUGAAAGAAAGGCAGACUUUGUACAACACGUUUACGUUUAAAACUCAAUUUCUCUUUUAGUUUUUCUCAGCUGAAGUAAAUCGUGGCUCAGAUGCAGAUUCAGGCAAACAAGAGCUGACGAGACCCAUGUGUGGAUGGAGGCGUGGCGACUCAUCACUAAGCCCCACUGAUGGGUCCUGAUGAUCAUCUCCAUGUUGAUGGAUGUAAGUAGCUCUAGCUAAGUGCUCGACAUCGGACUGUAACUGCUGGUGUCAGCUCGGUUAUGGAUUAAAAAGCUAUAGCUCUUGAUUGAACAUUUACAAGGUGAGAAAUACCCCCAAAAAAUAGAAAUCUCACAGGAGGCGCAACCUUGUCUACCAGGCACCAUCUCUUACAUCCUCCUUCAGAACGUCGCUCAUCUGCUAGCUGGCCUCCAACAUUAGCAUAGUCUCUUUGACAUCAAAACGGUACUGGCACCAGAUUGAAUUCUUCACCGAUCCAAUUCCGCCCUGUCCGGUUAUACUGUCUUGAGGGUAAACCCAAGACAUGUUGGGUAAAGUAAAUAACUUCAUAUUCAUACUUUAUACAAAAGGUAUGGCAGGAAAAAAAUCUGUGAAGGUCUAAAAAUAUGUAUUUCCCUGCAAUCUUUCGCCUUCUCUCACCAGAACUGUGUAGCACCACCAUGUUAGAGACACAUCCUCUACUCACACCUGGGUUGCUUGGUUUCUCCGAUGUGAUCUAGUCCUGGCACUAAUUGGACGACUUGCAUGAGGAAACCAACAAAACUCAAAACUGUAACCAAUUCCAGAUCUAAUUCGUCACCAACCCAAUUAGACGAUAUAAAUGCUAAAUUAGCAUACCGUUAUGUGAAAUGAACCAGAGUGAUUUCAUUGUCCAUCUCUCAAACAGACACAAGCACAAACCAUCAAAAGUGCUACAAAUUCCACACUCAAAGUGUCUGAGUUGUUGUUGCAGCGCACUUGAUUGUGGCUGACUUUACAUUCGAUCAAAUACAGGGAAAAGAAAAUGAAUAGCUUAGCUUUCCAUUGACGCAGUUAGGUAGUUGAGAGAAGGUUUCGUGUGCAGCUUGAGUAGUAUGGCACAGUGUUUACAUUGUAUUAGACGUAAUACAUGUCUUGAUAUAUAGUACACAAUUAAUACCAACAACAACUACAACACAGAAGUAAAAAGAAAGGUUUUUGCAUGAACAGAGGGUGAAUAAUGUUUUGCUCAAAAAAGAGAAGAUGUAUUGGAUAGUGUGGAUGCCCUUUCAUGUCCGUGUGUGUGUUUGUGUAUGUGCGUAUUUGAAUGUGCACAUAUUUGAGAGAUGAUGGAAUACUCUGCAAGAUAAAAGUAAAGACAGCAGCUAAGGUUGUACAGAUUGAUUUGAGCUCUACUUAAGUUUGGCACUCAGCUUUUCAUUAAGCCAGUAGAAUAUCAGUCACAGUCGACUUACCCUGUUGUCAAGAAUACAAACACAGAAAAGCACAGACACAAACCAACCACAUCGAGGAGAGGAGCAGAGAGGGCAGGACAGCAGAAGAGAAGACAAGAGAGACAAAGACACAGCCACUUAAAUUAGGUUACGAAGGAGGUAAAGAAGAUCGAGAACGAGAAAGAGAACGUAAAUAAGGGGGCAAGGGAGCGAAAGAAGUGGAGUAGAAAAAAAGAGAAGACAACAGGAGAGGGUGCAUGGAUCACACAGGAGACAAGGUACUCAUCAGCCUCCUCUCCCUGUCAACAUGAUGGUUUUCAUCAUACACAAAAAAGGGGCCUUGGGUGGGCGUCACAGUUCUGCGGGGAUGUAAACAGUUUGUUAAGGAAAAAUGACAAUAGGGGAAAGCCAUUUCUUAAGGGAAAAAUAUAAGAACACUGUUCUGCGAUAAAGGCUUCUGAGAGCAGCAGGCAUACAGUACUACAAAGUUCCUGAGCCCUCAGUGAGCAAGUACUGCUCGGCUUCAACCUCCAAAGCCCUUUACGUUCGGAGCAAAGGAGUCCUCUUCAGUUGUCCCACUCUUGCAGUCUGCUUUUAGUGUAAUGGAUAAUAACCCUGUUCGGGAUGCAAGUUGCUGCUGUGGUUUGUAGUCAUUCACAUACUGAGAGGGAUGAAAGGAAAUAACAGCAAGCACACCAUUGCUUCUGUUUCCCUUUGACCUAGCCCAUAGGGUUUGUUUGGCUUUAUGGUUUGUUUGUUUGUGCAGAACUUUAGGAAAAGGCUCAGUGCGUUUACUCUACUGACUCAGCCCUGCAGAGCGUCCUUAUGACUUUUGAUACCUUCAGACCUCGCUCUCCACGCUGGAGAAAUGGGCCGAACCCCUUCUUGAGCAAAGGCUCGUGGCUUUGAGGGGUAAGUGAGGAGACUGAGGGAACCUCUGCGGUUGGGGCACAGAGCGCAACCUCUGGUACUGUAGUUUAGCACUUGCUGAAGCCAUGGAGGAGGGCUGCGGUGCCCCAGGAGUGGAUGAGACCACAGAGGGGGAGGAUACAGAGGAGGAGGAGGUAGGUGGAGGAACAUGGCUGGGAUGAGACAAAGAUGGAGGAGCUGGAAGGGCAGGGAGUUGGGGCGGCAAGCUUGCUAUGAGGCUCGGGGGUGGGGAUGAUUGCCGUCCUCGAUCUCUAUCGGUUCUUUGUGUUCGCUGCUGUAUACUGAGGUUUGACUGGCUGCCCGAUUUGGGUGGAUUCUGUGAGCGCUCGGGUUUGGAGGAGGAUGAGGAGUCAUGUUUUGGCUUCAGUGGACCUCGGUGGUACAGCUCUUCCUGGCUUCGGGAGCUUUCGCGGGGCCACUUGGAGGGGUGGGGUUGUGAACGGUGUCGCGGAGAAUGACACGAGGAACAAGCGGCACGACCUUUCCCCUUGUUCUUUGAUUUCCGUUUACUCUUCUUUUCAUCCUGUAUGUGGAGUUUGUCGACUGACCAGUAUCGUCGAGGAGGUGGCGGCGUAAGUGGAGUGGGAGGCCAGCGUGAUCCUGAUCCCCACACUCUCUUUCUUGCAUCCCCUCCAACGCCGUCACCUCCUCCUCCAACAGACCCCCAUCCACUUUCUGCUGUCCCCCACCUGUCCCCCCGCUCCAGGAACAGGUCAUCUCUACUGGUGAUGCUGCCGGUUUUUUCCCUUGAAGGGUAGGUGCUGAAAAACCAACCACCCCCACCGAUCCCUCCUACGGACCUGCCUUCAUGAUCCUCCCAAUACCUCUCAAACUUCCCAAACUCUCCCGAGGAGCCAUCAUCAUCAGAAUAUAUCCCAACAACCUUAUCACGUUCCCGCUCUUCAUCUGACAUAGUCCUUACUCCUCCACGCCUCUUUCCAUGGUCUGCUUUUCUCCUCUCCAUCUCAGAAUCUUUCUUCCUCACCCUCUGCUCCGGACUCCCACUCGUGGAAAGACAGCCCCUCCUUGGAGUGCAUCUGAGGUCUUCCAUCCCGCCCAGCAAUGGCCUCCUCUCUCUCUCUACUGCUACAGUUCCCCGCUCUGAACUUU